AUGCAUCUUUUGAUCCCUUUUUGUCAUUUUCCAUUGGGUCCUAGAGUGCACCGAGACACCAGGCGAAGCAACUUUAGAAUACUUUGUAACUAAAACUGAUUUUGACAAUUUUUCUGAGAUGUUCCCCUGCAUGUUGUUUCUGAAUGAACUGCACGUUAUAGACGUUUCAUCCGACUUUGGAGCAAAAACUGGCUUCGUUACCUUAUUUGGUGUCUUCCACUUUUUUCUGGAGAGAGUAUGCGCUGAAGGAGACUGUCUACGCGAAUGCUUUAUCGCGACCUUUUUCUUUUUCCUUCCCUUAACGCUUCUUAGUGAAACAGACGACAUAUUUGAAGUUCCAGAGGAAUUUAAGUUCAGAACUGGCUCGAACACCGCAUUUUCAGUGUUUAUCGACUGUGUUGGAGUGGCUUCUGAUCUUAAGGAAACUAUGCAUGAAUCACAAAGUUGUUCAUCAUUUCCAGCUAGUGUUGCAACAAAAGACCCCUUGCAAUCCCGACAAAAAAGACUUUUCUUCACAGGAACUGGACCGAUGACACUCUGAAUUGUUUCUUCUAAUGUUUUCAAGGAACCUUUUCUACACUCUUUGACCACGUCGAGGAGGCUCUUGCCAUUUUCUAGGCAGAUAUACUCUGACGCACGUCUAUAUGAAUUACAAGCAUGGAUCUCAAAUUUGCUAGGAGGCACAACUGUAGCUCCCUUGCAUAGUUCACAAGAACAAAGAAUUCCAGUAUCUUUAAUUGUUCCUCGGAGUGGAAUUCCCUUCUUCCCACCGUUGUAGAAAACAGGAUAGCCUUCCAGUAAACCAGUCUCAAACAGCUCCUUCACCGUUUCAGGUAUUACCGUAAUUGAAAUCUUCUUCGACAUUUUCAUUUCUAGUUUCUUCGUAGGUGUACCAGAGAUAACUACACCACUUCCCUCAUCAACUUCACCUCCAGAGUUCCCAUUCGUAAUCUCCAACAGCUCCCUCUUCCUCCCCAAAGCGGACCGUGUUAACCGCUUACUCCUCGUCUCUUCUUUCACUUCAACCUCCACAACAUCACCGUUAUUCGCUGAAAUUCCUAAA
This 1063-nucleotide unclassified non-coding RNA is filed under the name Hevea brasiliensis (rubber tree). Lineage: Eukaryota; Viridiplantae; Streptophyta; Magnoliopsida; Malpighiales; Euphorbiaceae. The record is from RNAcentral.